GAUGACAGAGAGUACGUGACUCCACAUCACAGCUAUCAUGUUUUAAUUCACCUCAUUAAGAGUAAGUUCUUCGUAAUGGCCGCUCUCUCGUCUCUGCUGUGUUCAUCUGCUCGUCUCGUUACAUCGCCUCGGUUACGAUUUUGCGAGCUAGCUGUUUGCAGACGCAUAACAUGGCUGUCUUCGUCCCUCCAACGUUGUUACACGUCGAACACUUCGGGCACAGCAGCAGAUCAUCUCAGCUCUGGACUUGACAGGUACAAGGACUUGCAGAAUUAUUUCAAAAGAAGACUGAGGUCAGCGUACCACAGGUUCUCCGACAUACCCGAUCACUCAGUGAUCUGUGGACAACAUCAUGAUUAUUUCACUGAAGGUGAUGGCAUUUACAGAAGGGACAAGAGACAGAGUGAUCUGGAGCCAGAGCAGGUCCUGAAUCUAGGACAAGUCUCUGAACAAGAGGAGGAGGCAGGACUUGAUAAUGAAGAGAGAAUGCAGAGGUUUCAGUGGACUGUCCAGAGAAUACGUCUGUCCCCACAGGAAAAGCAUCUCGCUGCCACACUCAGAACUGACCACAGAGAAGAUCUGAGGUGUGUUGUUGUGAGACUUGGAAAGAGAGGUCCCCUCCCUCAGGGUCCUGCACACGUCGUAUUCACUCUGGACAAAGUCUUCACCUUUGAGUGGGCCACAGACGAGGUUAUGUUUUACACAACUUUGGAGGGUCUGCGCUGCAACAGAGUGUUUCGUCUGGACCUCACCUCCAGUGGAGGCAGGAUAACCUCUGUGUAUGAGGAGACACAUCCUGAUGUGUUUGUGGAGGUUGCCCUUUCCAGAGACCGACGGAUACUGAGCAUCAACUGCAACAGCAGGACCACUUCAGAGGUGCUGCUAAUUGAUACAGUAGCAUCCCAUUUAGAGCCUUUUCUGGUUCAGCCACGCCAGCUGGACCUCCUCUACCAUGUGGAGCAUUGGAGAAAGUGGCUGAUUAUACUGGCUAAUACAGGGCCUGGACAGGAAUAUCAGGUGGUGCAGGCCCCACUCUCCAAGCCGUCCAUUGUCUCCUGGAUGCCCCUGUUUUCCCCUGCCCCUGGCACUGCAAUCAAAGACAUGGAUGUUGUUGGAGACCACUGUGUGCUGGUUGCAAGAACACCAGCUGGUGAACUUGUCUUGAUCGUGGUCCCAAUUCCCUGCCCUAGGAAAGCAUACACUGUACAGCUCCCGUCAUGGGCCUGUGCCAUCACAAUCAAGAAGGCAGACAUGGCAGAUCAACGCAAUGCGUUAGAGUUCUUGGUUUCAUCUCCUGUACACUUGCCGGUGCCAUAUUGUCUAUUCCCCGAGGAUGGGCUCCUUGUAUCAGGCAAUGAAGAUGCAUCCUCCCCAGAAAGCUUGGGCAGUUACACCACCUCACGCCUGGAGGCCUGCAGCCAAGAUGGUACCUUGGUGCCAGUGACACUGUUUCAUACAUUACCUGUGGAGAGUUUGAGACAGGUGCCACUACUGGUCCAUGUCUAUGGAGCUUAUGGCCAAGAUCUCAACAUGGAAUUCUGCCCAGAAAAAAGGCUGCUGCUGGAGCAGGGCUGGGCUCUGGCUUACUGCCACAUCAGAGGUGGAGGUGAGCGGGGUCUGUUCUGGCAAAGACAAGCCCGUGUUGAGGGGAAGCAGAGAGGAGUGGAGGACCUCCAAGCCUGUCUCCAUCACCUUUUCACUUUAGGAGUCUCCUGUCCUUCACUCACUGCCUUUACAGCCUGCAGUGCUGGAGCUGUGCCAGUGGGAGCGCUGUGCAACAGGCACCCACACCUGAUACGGGCUGUCACGCUGCAGGCUCCGUUUGUGGAUGUGUUGGGGACUAUGGAGGAUCCCAGCCUGCCUCUAACUUUGGAGGAUAGAGAAGAAUGGGGGAACCUAGUAGGAAACCCAAAACAUAGACUCACCAUCUCCUCCUACUGUCCCCUUCACAACAUUACUCCUCAGUGCUACCCAUCAUUUCUGCUGACCGCCUACAGUGGUGAUGCCAGAGUUCCUCUGGCAGGUGUCCUCAAGUAUGUUGAGCGAUUAAAGGAUGCCAUUCAUACUCACUUCACACUGAAGCCAGAGUCAGAUUGUGAUAGUUCAGGGUCAGCUCCCAGUUUCAGUGUCUGUGCAUGUCUGGAGGGAGGUAACAGAUGCAUGGCUGUGUGUCAUGCUAACAGCAGUCAAAGUUCACAACCAAAGUAUAGCAUAGGUCACCUUGUAGUAUACCGUGUGUCUGUGUAUGUGUCAGCUAAUUGCUCUCAUUUCCCCCCAGACAGGCUCUUUCUCCCUCUCACUUAUAAUCUGCCUUCACCACAUUCAUGGUGCUACUCUUUACACCCCUCUCUCACUCUCUCUCCACUCCGCUCUUCUCUUCUCGUUUCAGAUGCACACAUUAUCUCUCUCUUUCACCCUCUCUCACUUUUCUGUUGUUCGUACACACAUACACCAGGCAGUCUGUAUGUGUGUGUGUCUCCUUAAUCUGUCUCUCUCUGUUAACAGAGUCUUUGAUAAAGUGCUGAUGGCAUAGACACAUGCAGGCGGGUAGGCUGGCACAUUAGCAUGGUAAAGAGAUAACGUAUCAGAGCAAGAGAUUAGGAGCCACAGACUGGGAGCUGUCAAGGUCAAGACCGCACUUGUGAAACAGCCCAUACCACAGAGACAGGGAGGGGGGAUGAUAUGGAAGGAUCUGAGAAGAGGGUGGGGAGGGGUAAUAUCAAAUGGGAGCACAAAUAAGUGAAAGGAGAGUAAAUACAGAAUCAAAAGAGGCAGAGGGAGAGUGAGGAUCUGGGGCAUCCGGACACCGAGAAAGUCGGCUUAUAAAUGUGAGCCAGCACCAAACAUAGUUCUGAAUAUCCAAUCUGGAGCAAAUCACCUCGGACCAGAGGACUUUGAGCUAAAGCUGGAGGAGGAAGCCCUCAAGCUAGCUUUCCUAUACACAGAGCUGGGCCUGGACCGUCCUCG
Molecule: RNA transcript, 2967 nt
Organism: Scatophagus argus
Lineage: Eukaryota; Metazoa; Chordata; Actinopteri; Scatophagidae
Gene: prepl
Gene name: prolyl endopeptidase like
Exons: 16
Source: RefSeq, a predicted model, not a curated record